GACGAACGCUGGCGGCGUGCUUAACACAUGCAAGUCGAACGGAAAGGCCCUGCUUUUGUGGGGUGCUCGAGUGGCGAACGGGUAAGUAACACGUGAGUAACCUGCCCUUGACUUUGGGAUAACUUCAAGAAACUGGGGCAAAUACCGUAUCGGAGCUCCUGCUGCAUGGUGGGGGUUGGAAAUUUUCGGCGGUUGGGGAUGGACGCGCGGCUUAUCAGUUUGUUGGUGGGGUAGUGGCUUACCAAGGCUUUGACGGGUAGCCGGCCUGAGAGGGUGACCGGCCACAUUGGGACUGAGAUACGGCCCAGCCUCCUACGGGAGGCAGCAGUGGGGAAUAAUGAACAAUGGGCGGAAGCCUGACGCAGCAACGCCGCGUGCGGGAUGACGGCCUUCGGGUGGUAAACCGCUUUCGCCUGUGACGAAGCGUGAGUGACGGUAAUGGGAAAAGAAGCACCGGCUAACUACGUG
RNAcentral lists this ribosomal RNA (468 nucleotides) under uncultured bacterium. Its description in RNAcentral is "partial 16S ribosomal RNA". It matches the Rfam family "Bacterial small subunit ribosomal RNA", at positions 28 to 507 of the family's 1533-position model. The record is from RNAcentral.